Molecule: long non-coding RNA, 361 nt
Filed under: Sus scrofa (pig)
Lineage: Eukaryota; Metazoa; Chordata; Mammalia; Artiodactyla; Suidae
Description: lncRNA (ENSSSCG00015011936.1)
Source: RNAcentral
GUCCUGCGGCACUCGGCGCACCUGCUCCCCGCGCGGGUGCUGGAGUUAAAGCGCUGGAGAAACUGGAUUUCCGCCAGUGAGGAGGUCACCUGUGCGCCCUAAAGGCCCGGAGUUCCCAAGUUAGCAGGUGUUCCAGCUCCGCCAACUUUGUGAAUUUCACCAGAGGACUCCAGUUACUCCGCUGCAGGUGGUUUGAAAAGCACUGCUUUUAACAACGCUGUCCUACCGCCUUUUUAGUGGGAGAAAUAAAAUACUGUACAAAGCAAGUAACAAACGACGUUUCAAUGAAGGAGAGAAGAGGAAGAGAGAAAUUCUGUCGGGAAGAAACAAUUUGAGUUAGAGAGGUCUUCCCAUUCCAAGG